Long non-coding RNA from Budorcas taxicolor (takin), 443 nucleotides. RefSeq lists it as uncharacterized. NCBI's taxonomy places the organism in Eukaryota, Metazoa, Chordata, Mammalia, Artiodactyla, Bovidae. The record is from RefSeq and is a predicted model, not a curated record. The transcript has 3 exons.
GUCCAUGCAUCGGGAGGUUCUGUCGGUUGCAGAAAGAACAAAGGGACAUGCGCGGGCCGGGAGAUGCAGUUCCUUGCUCUCGCCACUAGAGGGCAUCUCUCUGUGAAGCUCCUCUCUGAAUGAGAGAAACCCCCCCUCAAAGGUAAUGCUAAGAAGACAGCCAGAGUUAACCCAGACACAAGGCUCCUCAAAAUCAGACUCUGCCUCUCUGAAUCUGCUUCCUCAUCUGUCAAAUGGAGAUGGCAGUUAAACCCAUCUCCCAGGCCUGUGACGAUUCAUCAAGACGGUGCCUGUAAAAACCCUCACCACGCACAAAGCCUUCUCAGAGAGGCAAAAGCAGACUCCGUGAUCAGCCAAGGUUGCCAGCUGACCUGAUGCUUAAGCUGGGAACAACGAGAAGCAGGACCCAUCCUCCAGGUUCCUCAGGAGGAGAAAGAUCAAAG